CAGCCGUAAACUAUGCUCGCUAGGUGUCAGGCAUGGCGCGACCGUGUCUGGUGCCGCAGGGAAGCCGUGAAGCGAGCCACCUGGGAAGUACGGCCGCAAGGCUGAAACUUAAAGGAAUUGGCGGGGGGAGCACAACAACGGGUGGAGCCUGCGGUUUAAUUGGACUCAACGCCGGACAACUCACCGGGGACGACAGCAAUAUGUAGGCCAGGCUGAAGACCUUGCCUGAAUCGCUGAGAGGAGGUGCAUGGCGUCAGUGACU
Molecule: ribosomal RNA, 262 nt
Filed under: uncultured archaeon
Lineage: Archaea
Description: partial 16S ribosomal RNA
Rfam family: Archaeal small subunit ribosomal RNA
Source: RNAcentral